Molecule: ribosomal RNA, 253 nt
Filed under: uncultured bacterium
Lineage: Bacteria
Description: partial 16S ribosomal RNA
Rfam family: Archaeal small subunit ribosomal RNA
Source: RNAcentral
AACCAGCACCUCAAGUGGUCAGGACGAUUAUUGGGCCUAAAGCAUCCGUAGCCGGCUCUGUAAGUUUUCGGUUAAAUCUGUACGCUUAACGUACAGGCUGCCGGGAAUACUGCAGAGCUAGGGAGUGGGAGAGGUAGACGGUACUCGGUAGGAAGGGGUGAAAUCCUUUGAUCUAUUGAUGACCACCUGUGGCGAAGGCGGUCUACCAGAACACGUCCGACGGUGAGGGAUGAAAGCUGGGGGAGCAAACCGG